RNAcentral lists this ribosomal RNA (480 nucleotides) under uncultured bacterium. RNAcentral's name for it is "bacterial SSU rRNA". It matches the Rfam family "Bacterial small subunit ribosomal RNA", at positions 28 to 506 of the family's 1533-position model. The record is from RNAcentral.
GAUGAACGCUGGCGGCGUGCCUAACACAUGCAAGUCGAACGAAGCACUGUCGAAUGAGGAUUCGUCUGAAUUUGGCUUUGACUUAGUGGCGGACGGGUGAGUAAUGCGUGAGCAACCUGCCUUUCAGAGGGGGACAACAGUUGGAAACGACUGCUAAUACCGCAUAUGCCUAAGCACCACAUGGUGCAAUAGGGAAAGGAGCAAUCCGCUGAUAGAUGGGCUUGCGUCUGAUUAGCUAGUUGGUGGGGUAAAGGCCUACCAAGGCGACGAUCAGUAGCCGGACUGAGAGGUUGAACGGCCACAUUGGGACUGAGAUACGGCCCAGACUCCUACGGGAGGCAGCAGUCGGGAAUAUUGCGCAAUGGAGGAAACUCUGACGCAGUGACGCCGCGUGCAGGAAGAAGGUUUUCGGAUUGUAAACUGCUUUAGACAGGGAAGAAACAAGACAGUACCUGUAGAAUAAGCUCCGGCUAACUACGU